This 32-nucleotide non-coding RNA is filed under the name Geobacter sulfurreducens KN400. Lineage: Bacteria; Pseudomonadati; Thermodesulfobacteriota; Desulfuromonadia; Geobacterales; Geobacteraceae. The record is from RNAcentral.
GCAAUGUCGGCCACGGGGAUGGCCUUGCAGCA